UGGUUUGUGGAUCAUUUAUCUAAUAGGUAUUCAAUAUCUAAAGACAAUCCAUUCAUAAAACUGGUGGAAUCUGUAGGUAAUUAAGUGGGUGUUGUAGUUGUGAUUUUAUUUUAUGUCAGAAACAAGUUAGGUAUAAUUUAUAAAUAGGUAAAUUUUCUGUUUUUUUAGUAGGUGCUGCCCCCUUAAGUAGAACUAAGGAAAUUGUAUUAGGAAGAGUACUGAAUAAAUAUAACACUACAGUUUCUCAUUUACUAGUCACCAGGGAGACUGAUAUGACCAUUGCCUUUAAAUGAUCAUAGGGAAUUUGACUUACAUUCACCCUAUCACUUCUUGGGAGAAUAUGAGUGGGGUUGAAAGAGAAUCCCUCAGGUGCACAGAAUUUUAGUUAAUCAU
Molecule: long non-coding RNA, 393 nt
Organism: Homo sapiens (human)
Lineage: Eukaryota; Metazoa; Chordata; Mammalia; Primates; Hominidae
Source: Ensembl